UCCGGUUUGUCACCGGCAGUCUCCUUAGAGUUCCCGGCCGAACCGCUGGCAACUAAGGACAAGGGUUGCGCUCGUUGCGGGACUUAACCCAACAUCUCACGACACGAGCUGACGACAGCCAUGCACCACCUGCACACAGGCCACAAGGGAAUACCUAUCUCUAGGCACGUCCUGUGCAUGUCAAACCCAGGUAAGGUUCUUCGCGUUGCAUCGAAUUAAACCACAUGCUCCACCGCUUGUGCGGGCCCCCGUCAAUUCCUUUGAGUUUCAGCCUUGCGGCCGUACUCCCCAGGCGGGGCACUUCAUGCGUUAGCGCCGGUACCCCGGGGGUCGCUCCCCAGAGCACCUAGCAUCCAUCGUUUACAGCGUGGACUAC
This 376-nucleotide unclassified non-coding RNA is filed under the name uncultured bacterium. RNAcentral describes it as "contains 16S-23S intergenic spacer region". The record is from RNAcentral.